Molecule: long non-coding RNA, 1506 nt
Filed under: Chloebia gouldiae (Gouldian finch)
Lineage: Eukaryota; Metazoa; Chordata; Aves; Passeriformes; Passeridae
Description: Erythrura gouldiae (Gouldian finch) lncRNA (ENSEGOG00005006538.1)
Source: RNAcentral
AUGCCCCGAGCGUGGCCACCCUCAGCCGCGGGGCGAUGCCCGUCACCCCGGGAGAUGCCCAUCACCCCGGGAGGUGCCCCGGCCCGCCUGGAGGGUCCCGCCGCUCCCCGGGGCCGCCCGGAGCCGCCUGACCGCGCCCUCCCCCGAUGUGGAGACCCCGCGACACCCCCGAUCUGCCCGGGGGGACAGGACAGGACUCACCGCCCGCCGGGCCGGGACUGCGGGGGCCGGGAGGAGCGGCAGGGCCGGGACACCCGGCUCGGGGCUGGCGAGGCGGAGCGGAGCCCGGCAGCGGCGGCGGCGGCGGCGGCGGCAGGAGGAGCAGCAGGAGGAGGAGGAGGAGGAGGAGGGGGAGGAAGAAAAGGGGGAGCAAAGCGGGGCUCGGCCCCGCCGCCGGGAGCCCGCGAGAUUCGCCGAGCGGCCGCGCAGAGCCGCCUCCUGCCGCGCGCGGGGCAACCGCCGGGGGGCGCCCGCGGGCAGCGGCCGGGGACACGGAGCGGGACGCGGGGACAGGGACAGGACAGGGAACGGAACAGGACAGGGGACAGGGACAGGGACAGGACACGGGGACAGGGACAGGGGGACAGGAGACAGGGGGACAGGGACAGGACCGGGGACAGGGACAGGACACGGGGACAGGGACAGGACACGGGGUGCAGGGAGGACAAGAGGGACAGGGACGGGACACGGGGACACGGAGGGGGACACGCGAUGGAGGGACAGGACACUGUGCGCGGAAAGGGUGCGCGGAGCAGACGGAGAUUGGGAGCAGGACACGGGGUGAGGGUGGCAGACACGGGGUGGGAGGGCAGGACACGGGGUGCGGGAUCAGGAUACGGGGUGCGGGAUCAGGACAUGGGGUCCAGGAGGGGACACGGGCUGUGGGAUCAGGACACGGGGUGCGGGAUCAGGACACGGGGUGCGGGAUCAGGACACGGGGUGCCGGAUCAGGACACGGGGUGCAGGAAGGACACGGGGUGCGGGAUCAGGACACGGGGUGCAGGAAGGACACGGGGUGCGGGAUCAGGACACGGGGUGCGGGAUCAGGACACGGGGUCCAGGAGGGGACACGGGUGCGGGAUCAGGACACGGGUGCAGAAAGGGACACGGGUGCAGGAAGGACACGCGGUGCAGCAGGCGCGGGUCAGGACGGGCCCGGUGGCGGCGGGUCCCGCUGGGCUGCCGGAGCCCGGAGCGGGAAGCGCAUUCCCGAGGGAGCCCGGGCCUGGCUGGAAACCCUUUAAUGUGCGCUCUAAUGAGAGCUGGGCGAGGAGCGGCUGUCUGGGGACGGGUUGUGCCAGUGGCUGGUGCCAUCCCCGCCCUGCGAGCCGCGUUUGCAUUCGCCUUGGUGCCUCGCUCGCAGCAUCGCUCCCACAUCACCCGGAUUCACUUCUGUGUCCCACGAUGUCCUUUAAUUCGGGAAUAUUAUCUGUUCUUGGAAAGGUUAAUUACAUUAAAGGAGUGGAUCUCUGUUCCCAUUUCUUCAUGGCUUCAUUUAUUCUGCCU